GCCAGAGUGCUGGAAUUGGUAGACAGGCUAGUUUCAGGAACUAGUGCUUUUAAAACGGGCGUGUGGGUUCAAAUCCCUCCUCUGGCA
Candidatus Pacebacteria bacterium CG2_30_36_39 is the source of this 87-nucleotide non-coding RNA. Lineage: Bacteria; Bacillati; Minisyncoccota. The record is from Rfam.